This 301-nucleotide ribosomal RNA is filed under the name uncultured bacterium. RNAcentral's name for it is "partial 16S ribosomal RNA". It matches the Rfam family "Bacterial small subunit ribosomal RNA", at positions 509 to 807 of the family's 1533-position model. The record is from RNAcentral.
CAGUAGCCGCGGGAAUACGUAGGUGGCAAGCGUUGUCCGGAAUUAUUGGGCGUAAAGGGCUCGCAGGCGGUUUCUUAAGUCUGAUGUGAAAGCCCCCGGCUCAACCGGGGAGGGUCAUUGGAAACUGGGAAACUUGAGUGCAGAAGAGGAGAGUGGAAUUCCACGUGUAGCGGUGAAAUGCGUAGAGAUGUGGAGGAACACCAGUGGCGAAGGCGACUCUCUGGUCUGUAACUGACGCUGAGGAGCGAAAGCGUGGGGAGCAAACAGGAUCAGAUACCCGAGUAGUCCCUGUCUCUUAUAC